This 491-nucleotide ribosomal RNA is filed under the name uncultured bacterium. RNAcentral's name for it is "partial 16S ribosomal RNA". It matches the Rfam family "Bacterial small subunit ribosomal RNA", at positions 29 to 506 of the family's 1533-position model. The record is from RNAcentral.
AGUGAACGCUGGCGGUAGGCCUAACACAUGCCAGUCGAACGGCAGCACAGUAAGGGCUUGCUCUUACGGGUGGCGAGUGGCGGACGGGUGAGGAAUACAUCGGAAUCUACUUUUUCGUGGGGGAUAACGUAGGGAAACUUACGCUAAUACCGCAUACGACCUACGGGUGAAAGCAGGGGAUCUUCGGACCUUGCGCGAUUGAAUGAGCCGAUGUCGGAUUAGCUAGUUGGCGGGGUAAAGGCCCACCAAGGCGACGAUCCGUAGCUGGUCUGAGAGGAUGAUCAGCCACACUGGAACUGAGACACGGUCCAGACUCCUACGGGAGGCAGCAGUGGGGAAUAUUGGACAAUGGGCGCAAGCCUGAUCCAGCCAUACCGCGUGGGUGAAGAAGGCCUUCGGGUUGUAAAGCCCUUUUGUUGGGAAAGAAAAGCAGCAGGUUAAUACCCCGCUGUUCUGACGGUACCCAAAGAAUAAGCACCGGCUAACUUCGU